GGUCCAAUGGUCUAGAGGUAAGAUUCUCGCUUUGGGUGAACCAUGCGAGAGGUCCCGCGUUCGAACCGCGGUUGGAUCC
This is a non-coding RNA of Hydnum rufescens UP504, 79 nucleotides long. The record is from the annotation of a GenBank genome assembly. NCBI's taxonomy places the organism in Eukaryota, Fungi, Basidiomycota, Agaricomycetes, Cantharellales, Hydnaceae.